CGACAGCUCGCUUUUGUCCCCACCGCCCACGUCGCUCCUUCCUUCCUCGGACCAUUCCGCCGCAAAUGCCAGCAAUUCGACUGCGCCGCCUGAUGAUGCUCCCUAUCCGCCCAUAGCCUCGCCAGCCGCCAUAGCACAAUCCAUCGUCGGUGAAGUCAACCACCGCCCACUCCCGGCUCCCCGGAUCCUCCUACCAUGGAGCGAGCUCGCGAUCUGCCCCGGACAGACCCAACCACCUACCCCUUUCUCUUCCCGGCGAGGAUGCGCGGCCGGUGAGCCUGGGAGGCUGGGAUGGAGCACGAAGAGGGAGAUGAUCCAUGAAGUGCAGGCCCCAGCCGUACGCCAAGGCGCUCUGCUUCUCCGCGCCCUGCCUCCGGAACCGCCUCCUCGUGCUCGCCGCGAGCGUGAACUGGCCGGCGCCGCCCCACGCCGUCCCGCUCCCUACGUAGGGUGAUGGGUCCUCCGGGACUCCGCCUUCGACCCACAGGUCCGCGCCCCGCUGUGGCAGCAGUCAACAGUGCGAGGUCGAAAUCGGCGCCGGCGUCCACCUCCAUUGAGAAGAGGAUGGCAGGCGGCGCGCCGUGCGGGGUGAAGCUUCUGCAUACCCUGAACGUGGGUGGUCGCUGUGCUGUGGCGGCGGGGUGGCGCUGCAGUCACGGGUCUUGACAAGGAGCGGAGUGGGGGCAGCGGCGGUGAAGGAUUUGAGGUGACGACGUCCUUCCACGCCAGUGUCGAAGAUCUCCAGGCAAAUGUGAUGGGGCACCUGCGCGACACCGCGUACCAUCACGUCACGGCAUGCUCCAGUCCUCCCAUUGUUGACAGAUAUUGGGUGUUCCUCAAUCCUCAUCUAGGAGAGCGAUCCUAUCUUCUUCAGUGGGGGAUCCCCCAUCACGCGAUUCACACCGAGUCUUCCGCAUCAGCAAUUGUCCACGUCUUUUUGCGCAAGCAACAGUGGGAAGUAAGUUGAUCAGGCCCGUUGUAGUGGAGUUGGGCAACUGCUCUCUUUGCCUUGCUGCCAUCUUGCUCCACAAAUAAAUUUUCACGCUGCUCAUGUGUUCUGGCAAGUUCAGUUUGCCGUUUGAAGCUGGUGGCAAGAAAAUGUGGCUGUACGUACAGAGUAGUUCGCCAAAUCCCUUCCUCAGCGUCAUCAGCUGCAGGAAACAGUAUAUCUAGACAGUUGUUUAUCUUUUGCUUUUAAGCAUUAUCUCCUGUUAAACAUGGUCAUCAAUUACUUAGCCUGUAAGGAAUACAUAUAUUUUCUCACUUAUUUUUUAUCAAAGAAGUCAUAUAGUUGCAUGGUUUGAUUAACUUCACAAGGGACUAUUGUUUCAACAACCAGUAAGUGACACAAGAUAUUUUCUCUCUUUUCGACUGGAAUAAAGUCAUGGAUGGUUAUUUUGUGUUUGCUUCAAAUCCCUGAAUUUUUUAUUCUUUUGCGACCAUGAACUAUUGAUUUGCAUGAGUAGAAAUUUAGCCAGGUGUACUGUAAGUGCAUUCUUUGUUUGUGGACAAUACUGCUAUUUGAUUUUUAGUUAAAGGAUAGGUAUUCCAACUCCCCUUCUUAUUCUGAAUUUUUAGAAAUGCAUUCUUUUACUCCACGGUCCACGCUCAUACUGAUAUGCUCCUCACUACCUGAUGUGCUUAUAAGCAAGAAAUGUGUAGUUAGUUGACAGGUUCAUCUGAGAACCUGCCACUCCCAUUUGUUAUAUCUUUGGCAAGCAACCAUCGUUGGAAAUAUUUUACAUCAUAAGAAGUGCAAAGUGAAGUAGACAAGCAGAACUUGUGGUUUAUUUUAUGUACAUCUGCUCAAAAGCAAAGUGAAGUACAGAAGUUGCUGAUGAGUGCAGCACCUGUUGUUUUCUUUAUAGAGAAAUUGAGCUAGACAGGUCUUUAAAGAGAGGUACACAAAUCCUUUCCCUAACACAUUCUGUACUUUACCCUAUUUUACAUAUAGAUUUAUUUUGAGUGUGCAUAUAGUUCCUUUCACUGUUUGCGUUCACAAAUGGGAUUAGGCAGUUAUGUAAAUUCUAGCUUACACUAACUGUCGUAGCUUAUGUUAUCUGCAAGAACUUCUACUCCAUCCAUAUGUCUUGGUAGUGCUAACAGAAACAUCAGUCUUACCCCAUGUUAUCAACAUACGAAUGCCAUUAUUCGUAGAUAGCGAGAUAUAUAGGAAAUAUGGGCAAUUAAGUUAUUCUCUAGAUUUUUCCUUUAUCCACUAUGGGAUUUCAAUCAUGUCUUUGUUACAAGGAACCCCCACAACAAUAGCUAUAUGCUCAUAUUUCAUAUUUGCAUAGCCACCAACGUUUGCGCCUCUUCUCCUCGAACUUCGGCGAAUUGCUUGGCUGCAUGCCCGUCAAACACGACUACCAGCUGCGCAUCUAUUCGCUCCUCGCAGGGUGUCAUAGGACAACCCCUUCCUUUCCACAUAUACUAAUAACGCAAUUCUUAGGCUCAGGAAAAAAAAUUAGUAUCCAUGAUUGUUUCAUCGAACAGUAUCAACUUAUAAUCUCACAUGUUUUAUUGAGCAAAUGUUGCCACUGGGAGUUAUGCUUUACAUAACCACACCUGGUACUACAGGAUCUACAAGCUGUAUUGCAGAGUGUUGCUUCUUCUACACUAAUUACUAAAUUUGGUUAAUAUAGUACAUGCCAGUAAUAUAAGUAAGAGUCGUAAGACACAUGUGUAUAUCUAUAGUUUUUAUUAUGUCCUCCAAAAAAAACUCAAUAUAAAAUCUGAAGAUGCUUUGGUGAAUCUUUAGUAAAAAGAUAAGCAAUAAUUAGGUGUAGAAUGGUCAUUGAAAGGACACGGAUGUCGCCUAGAGGGGGGUGAAUAGGCGGUUUAAAACUUUUACGAGAUGGACUUAACAAAUGCGGAAUAAAACUAGCGUUUACUUUGUCAAGCCCAAAGCCUAUAUACUAUGGUUCACCUAUGUGCACCAACAACUUAUGCUAAGCAAUACAAGCAACUUAUGUGAUAGCAAGAUAUAUAACUUCAAGCACGAUGGCUAUCACAAAGUAAAGUGCAUAAGUAAGGAGCUCGGGUAUAGAGAUAACCGAGGCACGCGGGAGACGACGAUGUAGCCCGAAUUUCACACUCUUGCGAGUGCUACUCUCCGUUGGAGCGGUGUGGAGGACAAGUCACUCCAAAAGCACGAUGGCCACCGUAUUCUCCUCGAGAAUUACCACCAAGAGGGAUGUCCUCGAACCACUAUGUAACCUUAGGGAGGUUACCGAACCCGCACAAAGCUUGGGGCUAUCUCCACAACUUAAUUGGAGGCUCCCAACAAAUUGCCACAAACGCCUUGCCCUUGAAGAAUCUCCACAACUUAAUUGGAGUCCCCAAGAACACCACUAAGAUGCCACAAAGGCCUUACCCUUGAAGAUUCUCCACAACUUAAUUGGAUUCCCCAAGAACACCACAAAGAUGCCACAAAGGCCUAGAAUUCGUCUAGAGUUCCAAGAACCCACGAGUAACAACUUUCUUGUUUUCACCUCCACGAAUCACCGUGGAGAACUCAAACCGAUGCACCAAAUACAAUGGCAAGAACACCACAAAGAUGCUCAAGUCCUUCUCUCUCAAAUUCCAACAAAGCUACAAAAGCUAUUGGGGGAAUAAGAGAGGAAGAACAAAUGAAUUCACAAAGAACACCAAGAUCAAGAUCUAGAGGGUUCCACUCACAAAGAGAUGGAUUUGAUUGGUAGAAAUGUAGAUCUAGAUCUCCUCUCUCUUUUCCCUCAAGAAUAUGCAAGAAUCAUGAGAGGAAUCAAGAACUAGGACAAGCUUUGAAGUACAACAAUGGAGGGGAGAGAGAGAAAGUGAACCAACCAGCCCAAGGAGGAAGAAGGGGGUCUUAUAUACCCCCUCCCAACGAAAUAUGACCGUUUGGGACCUCCCAGGCCGGAAAAUCCGCCCCCGGGCCGGAUUAUCCGCCCCUCGAAAAUCGCCCCUGGACUGGGCCGGAUAUU
Molecule: long non-coding RNA, 3968 nt
Organism: Lolium perenne
Lineage: Eukaryota; Viridiplantae; Streptophyta; Magnoliopsida; Poales; Poaceae
Source: RefSeq, a predicted model, not a curated record